Molecule: long non-coding RNA, 1732 nt
Organism: Oreochromis niloticus (Nile tilapia)
Lineage: Eukaryota; Metazoa; Chordata; Actinopteri; Cichliformes; Cichlidae
Exons: 3
Source: RefSeq, a predicted model, not a curated record
AUUGUGGACAAGACUGUUCUAAACUGAACUAGAUUGAUUGUGACAUGAAAGCAACUGCAAUGCAAAUUAAGUAUGAGGAAACAAUUUAAAUUUUACCUUAGUCAUAAAAGCCAUUGAACCAUCAAUUUUGAAAACAUAAUGGAUGAAGUGUAAAAGUUGCGGAGUGGCAAGAUGAGCAGAGAUGUCAGCAGAUGAGCAAAAAAAUAAAGAUUUUCAAGUGUUCAUCAAAGUGUUAGUUUGCAAAGAAUGAGUAAAAUAUGUAAGUUAAUAAUGUCAAAUCAAAUCACUUUUAUUGUCACAUCACAUUACUGGUACACUGGUACAACACAUGUAAGUGAGAUUCUUCUGUGCAAGCUUCACAAGUAACAGUAGUGUGCAAAAAUACAAGAAAUGUAAGAAACAAGCCAAAUAUAAGAGCAGGAAUGUGAGAAUAAUGAGUGAUAUUGACCUGAGGAGUACCAACCAAAAUAACAAAGCAAUUUCACAGUUGUUGAAAAGUAUGUAUUCAAUUCAGCAUCUAUCCCAGCUAUCACAGUAUGGGAGGGCAGGUCGCCAAUCUGUCACAGGAGCAGAUUACUUUAGACAAUUUUAAAAAAUGUCAAAACAGUCUAUCUCAUUGGAAGCAAAACAUAAAGAAAUGAAGGGUGAUUUAAUACUUUUUGCACAACUUUUUUUGCACAAAAUUUCUGUUAACCCCUGAUCAACUUAUUGAAUCUUUUGAAUUUUGGGUCAUGACAUAUGUUCAACAUCCUCCUGCAAAUAUUUCUUCUGUGGCCCCAUUAGCAAUUGAUUCUCAGUUAAAAUAAGCUUAGUUUAGCUGUAAUGCACAAAUUAUUUAGUUAACUGUGUGAAGAAAGAUUGGUUAAUAAAAAGCAGCAGAAAACUUUUAUAUUUAUCGCACAGAAGAUAGUGAAAUGACAAACCGCUGGAGAAUCACGAACUACAGCUCAGAGGGCAGAGGUAUCAUGUCGGAGCUCUGCCAGUUUCUAAAGAUGUUUGUACCGGGUGGGACGAGAAAGGCUACAGAGGAAGAGAGCAGCAGCAGGAGCCCCACUCUACCAAAGAAACACUUCACACUGCAAAGCCUUUUUUUGGAGAACUUAUUUUCUCAAGACUUUAAUAGUUUUAAGACUUUGGCACUGCUUCUGUGAACUGCGUUGGACAUUUGUCAUGGCUGUGGACUGGAUGUUGAACCAGGCACAUCUAUUGUAGAGCUAACUGUAAAUUGGUGCAAAAUGAACUAAGGAUCCAUAAAAACAGUGCCAAGUGUAAAUUAUCCUCUGCUGCAUGUUAGCCAUCAACAAGAAUGAACAAAGUGUGUGCCAGUUUAUGGGCGUCAUCAGGCCAGAAGGUCUUAUCCACGCUGAAGCCAGCCACGCCUGUCUUCCAUCUAGAUUCCAGAUGCUGCUGAUCACUUUCGCAAAGUGGCUACUACUUAACUGUUUGACUGAGCUUGAGUCAAUGCUGGAUUGUUCAGUUACUGAAAACUUGGAGAGGAGUGUGUCAUGGGAUUGGAGCAUUUGUAAAUAUCAAGUGUUGGAGCUUUUUGCCUGUCACACCACGGACCACAAGCACGGAGCAGGAGUUGGGAGCACGUUCACGGAAACCACUUCUUUGAAAGCUGUUUCACGAUUGUUUACAUGUCUCACUGUAAAUAAAACGCACUGUCUUUGAUUGGAAAGUCCUGCAUUUGGGUCCCGUUCUUGCCACGCACCUUGACAUAAAUAAUAAA